Molecule: long non-coding RNA, 521 nt
Filed under: Mus pahari (shrew mouse)
Lineage: Eukaryota; Metazoa; Chordata; Mammalia; Rodentia; Muridae
Description: lncRNA (MGP_PahariEiJ_G0005315.1)
Source: RNAcentral
AGCGGCUGGCUGAGGUGACAGAUUCAAAGUAGUGGAGACUUGCCAGCACACCAGAAACUACCUUAGAGGCUGCAGAAAGAAAAGUGACAUCUGCCCGAACCUCAGAAUGUGACUUGCUGGUUUCCCUCAAAGUAUAAUUUUCGUGUUGAUUAAAUAAGAUAAUAUUCACAGAAGCACAGUGAAUAGGGAGGAAGCUAGCAGUAAGCUCCAAGGCCCUUCCCAGCUGUCUCUCUGUCUCCCCUGCCUGUUUCCCUCUUGUUCUGCAGACAGCAUCCUGCGGCUCCUUCUUUGGUUGACCCGUGCAUCCUUCCAGACCCCUGAGUUUCUGGGCCUCUAAAACAACAGGGAAAAUGUCAUGGAAUGGGUCUUCCUGUGAACUCUUUCCUCUGGCUCCUCACAGAGCCCCCAGGUGGCCUUAGAGACUGGACAAAGGUUCACUAGGUCAGGUACUAGGGCACAGGACACAGAGACAUUUCCAAUUUAUGUGGAAGACAUAAAUGAGUGUAGAGAGGAAACAUGGC